RNAcentral lists this long non-coding RNA (905 nucleotides) under Cairina moschata (Muscovy duck). RNAcentral describes it as "domestica (muscovy Duck (domestic type)) lncRNA (ENSCMMG00000005501.1)". Lineage: Eukaryota; Metazoa; Chordata; Aves; Anseriformes; Anatidae. The record is from RNAcentral.
AAGAAAGUGGCAGCGAUUGUUCGAUAACUCGCUGCUGGAGGCCGCUGCUGACUCCCCAAGGCGACCCAGGGAAAAGAAACCAGCCUGGUUUCUUCGCUCAGACUCCUUUGGCAACCCUACCCCACCGAGAGGUUUUUGUGGAUCACCACAGCAGCAUCCCCCAGCACAGUGCCCAUUCCUUUUCCCCGUGGAGGGAAACGUCGGUUCCUAAAGGUGAAGCCAGCUCCUGUGCCCCCUCAGUGUCCCUGCAGAGCAGAUCCAUGCUCUUUUAGUUCACUGGCAAGGAGCUACCUGCCUCACACCCAGCCUAGAGAAGGGGAAGGUGUUUCCUGCUUGCCUGUAACAUGAGGAUCAUGGCAGGAACAGAGGUGAUGGAAGUCAAGGCCUUCAAAGCCAGGCUGAGCUCCUCGCUCUGGUGGGAGGGCAAGCUGGUGGAGGGGAGCAGAGCAGUUUGCAAAUCUGCAGGGAGGGCUGCUCCACAGGGCUGGGGGCAAGCAUGCUGCCCCCCCUGCUGCACACAGCCAGAGUGUUCCCUUCAUCUCCGUGUGCAGCUUAUAAAUGCCUUAGCAGAUUAUUUCCCUUUAUCUGAGAAGAGGGAAGGAGUUUUAUUCACCUGCUCCUUUCUGUUCAGUCCUUUGAAGGUCACACCUGUCACAUCUAUGGCUUUUUUCUUCCCUUAUUUUUGCAGCAUGAGGCUCUGUGGUACAGUGAUAUCACAGAAGAAAUCUUCUCAAGAUGUGAGACAGAGACACACAAAAUUCCUGUGCUCCUGCCUGAAGACAGAGCAGCUGGGGAAGGGAGCAUGCUCCAGGCUGCCCUGCACCCCUGGGCUUCUCAGAUGGGGCUGCUGCUGGCAACACCAAGGCAUUGGGUGUGGAUGGCCCCGAUCCUUAAAGGUUUGGUGA